AUUGAACGCUGGCGGCAUGCUUUACACAUGCAAGUCGAACGGUAGAGGGGGCAACCCCUUGAGAGUGGCGAACGGGUGAGUAAUGCAUCGGAACGUGCCCAGUCGUGGGGGAUAACGCAGCGAAAGCUGUGCUAAUACCGCAUACGAUCUCUGGAUGAAAGCGGGGGACCGAAAGGCCUCGCGCGAUUGGAGCGGCCGAUGUCAGAUUAGGUAGUUGGGGGGGUAAAGGCUCACCAAGCCAACGAACUGUAGCUGGUCUGAGAGGACGACCGGCCACACUGGGACUGAGACACGUCCCAGACUCCUACGGGAGGCAGCAGUGGGGAAUUUUGGACAAUGGGCGCAAGCCUGAUUCAGCAAUGCCGCGUGCAGGAAGAAGGCCUUCGGGUUGUAAACUGCUUUUGUACGGAACGAAAAGGUCUGGGUUAAUACCCUGGGCACAUGACGGUACCGUAAGAAUAAGCACCGGCUAACUACGUGCCAGCAGCCGCGGUAA
Molecule: ribosomal RNA, 496 nt
Filed under: uncultured bacterium
Lineage: Bacteria
Description: partial 16S ribosomal RNA
Rfam family: Bacterial small subunit ribosomal RNA
Source: RNAcentral